GACGAACGCUGGCGGCGUGCCUAAUACAUGCAAGUCGAACGCUUCUUUCCUCCCGAGUGCUUGCACUCCAUUGGAAAGAGGAGUGGCGGACGGGUGAGUAACACGUGGGUAACCUACCCAUCAGAGGGGGAUAACACUUGGAAACAGGUGCUAAUACCGCAUAACAGUUUAUGCCGCAUGGCAUAAGAGUGAAAGGCGCUUUCGGGUGUCGCUGAUGGAUGGACCCGCGGUGCAUUAGCUAGUUGGUGAGGUAACGGCUCACCAAGGCCACGAUGCAUAGCCGACCUGAGAGGGGGAUCGGCCACACUGGGACUGAGACACGGCCCAGACUCCUACGGGAGGCAGCAGUAGGGAAUCUUCGGCAAUGGACGAAAGUCUGACCGAGCAACGCCGCGUGAGUGAAGAAGGUUUUCGGAUCGUAAAACUCUGUUGUUAGAGAAGAACAAGGACGUUAGUAACUGAACGUCCCCUGACGGUAUCUAACCAGAAAGCCACGGCUAACUACGUG
RNAcentral lists this ribosomal RNA (508 nucleotides) under uncultured bacterium. Its description in RNAcentral is "partial 16S ribosomal RNA". It matches the Rfam family "Bacterial small subunit ribosomal RNA", at positions 28 to 507 of the family's 1533-position model. The record is from RNAcentral.